GCGAAUGCUGGUGGAACUACAUUGUUAAUAUUGGUGUCGCGGGUUCGAAUCCUGCCGUGGGCU
RNAcentral lists this transfer RNA (63 nucleotides) under Roseobacter ponti. Its description in RNAcentral is "tRNA-Ser". Lineage: Bacteria; Pseudomonadati; Pseudomonadota; Alphaproteobacteria; Rhodobacterales; Roseobacteraceae. The record is from RNAcentral.